Molecule: ribosomal RNA, 497 nt
Filed under: uncultured bacterium
Lineage: Bacteria
Description: partial 16S ribosomal RNA
Rfam family: Bacterial small subunit ribosomal RNA
Source: RNAcentral
GAUGAACGCUGGCGGCGUGCCUAAUACAUGCAAGUCGAGCGAUCAGAUGAGGAGCUUGCUCCUCUGACGUUAGCGGCGGACGGGUGAGUAACACGUGGAUAACCUACCUAUAAGACUGGGAUAACUUCGGGAAACCGGAGCUAAUACCGGAUAAUAUAUUGAACCGCAUGGUUCAAUAGUGAAAGACGGUUUUGCUGUCACUUAUAGAUGGAUCCGCGCCGCAUUAGCUAGUUGGUAAGGUAACGGCUUACCAAGGCAACGAUGCGUAGCCGACCUGAGAGGGUGAUCGGCCACACUGGAACUGAGACACGGUCCAGACUCCUACGGGAGGCAGCAGUAGGGAAUCUUCCGCAAUGGGCGAAAGCUUGACGGAGCAACGCCGCGUGAGUGAUGAAGGUCUUCGGAUCGUAAAACUCUGUUAUUAGGGAAGAACAAAUGUGUAAGUAACUAUGCACGUCUUGACGGUACCUAAUCAGAAAGCCACGGCUAACUACGUG